This 72-nucleotide transfer RNA is filed under the name Potamothrissa acutirostris (sharpnosed sawtooth pellonuline). Its description in RNAcentral is "tRNA-Trp". It matches the Rfam family "tRNA". From Rfam's summary of the family: Transfer RNA (tRNA) molecules are approximately 80 nucleotides in length. Their secondary structure includes four short double-helical elements and three loops (D, anti-codon, and T loops). Lineage: Eukaryota; Metazoa; Chordata; Actinopteri; Clupeiformes; Clupeidae. The record is from RNAcentral.
AGGGGCUUAGGAUAGCACAUAGACCGUGAGCCUUCAAAGCUCCUAGCAGGAGUGAAAAUCUCCUAGCCCCUG